UGCCAGCCGCCGCGGUAAUACGGAGGGUGCAAGCGUUAUCCGGAUUUACUGGGUUUAAAGGGUGCGUAGGCGGAUUUGUAAGUCAGUGGUGAAACCCCCGAGCUCAACUCGGGAACUGCCAUUGAUACUGCUAAUCUUGAGUACAGUUGGGGUGGGCGGAAUGUGUCAUGUAGCGGUGAAAUGCUUAGAUAUGACACAGAACACCAAUUGCGAAGGCAGCUCGCUAAACUGUAACUGACGCUGAGGCACGAAAGCGUGGGGAGCGAACAGGAUUAGAUA
Molecule: ribosomal RNA, 279 nt
Filed under: uncultured bacterium
Lineage: Bacteria
Description: partial 16S ribosomal RNA
Rfam family: Bacterial small subunit ribosomal RNA
Source: RNAcentral